GUUGACGCAGUUGUUCAGUGCUUGCGAUACGCCCUUGGCAACCUGCAAUUAGCGAUUAAAGGUUACCUGACCUCAAUUAAGGCAUUCGCGGCUGCAAGGAGGGUUGCAGAAGAAAAGGUCAUACAAACGCUGGUCUCAUUUCUCACCUGUGCAAGUCGCUGUUGAUUGUUCGGGUCUCCUGGAUUAUUCAGUGCUUUCUUCGCCUCGUUAAUUAGUUUGGCUGAUUCUUGGAUCACACCACGCGCCGCCUGUACGAUAUUCUUCUGCGCGUCCUUAUCGCUAGUUCCAGCAGCCACGCCCCUCACAGCCUGCGUCAGGUUCUUCAGGGCGUUGGCCGUGUCACGUGCGGCAAUGCCUGUGUAGCUCUCAUUGCCCUGUAAACCAUCGUACACACAAAGACAUUCAAAGUAGACAACGGGAUUACACUGUACCAAACAGCAGGGGUCAUACACUACACAAAGAAAACUUCGCACCUGUGCAGCAGCAGUUAACAGCUGAGCCAUAGACGAUCCCACAGUCUUGGACGUGGCACCGAGCUCAAGCGCAGAAGACUCAGGCUAAAGGAGAAAG
This is a long non-coding RNA of Nematostella vectensis (starlet sea anemone), 570 nucleotides long. RefSeq lists it as uncharacterized. The transcript is spliced from 3 exons. Lineage: Eukaryota; Metazoa; Cnidaria; Anthozoa; Actiniaria; Edwardsiidae. The record is from RefSeq and is a predicted model, not a curated record.